This is a long non-coding RNA of Myotis davidii, 1781 nucleotides long. RefSeq lists it as uncharacterized. The record is from RefSeq and is a predicted model, not a curated record. The transcript is spliced from 3 exons. Lineage: Eukaryota; Metazoa; Chordata; Mammalia; Chiroptera; Vespertilionidae.
UGUUCUCUUACAAAACAAACAAAAACCCCAGCUAAUGAUUAGAAUAGCUAAAUAUAUUGCAAAUGUACUAUUCAAAGAUUUUCCUCACAUGACUGGGUCUCUUAAAGCAAAUUAAAAUUUCAAUCAUCCUAAAUGUAAAAAUCUUACAUAUCUAACAUAUUCUUGAGCAGUCAGAACUUAGUUCAAAUUGGAAUUUACUUAUGGUUAACUACAUGUCAACUUGGCUACUCCAUGAUGCCCAGUUGUUUGGUUAAACACUAGUCUAGAUAUAUGUAAUUAACAUUUACAAUCAGUAAAACUAUCCUUCAUAAUCUGGGUGGAUCUCAUCCAAUCAGUUAAAGACAAUAGGAGCAAAGAGUGUGGUUUCCCAAAAAAACAAUUCUGCCUCAAGACUGCAACAGAGAACUGCCUGAGUUUUCAGCCUGCGGACCGCCCUGUAGAUUUUGGACUCAAGGCUGCACAUCAGCGCUUACCUGAUUUCCAGCUGGAUUGUCCUACAAAUGUCAGACUUGUCAGCCCCCACAAUUGUAUAAAAAUCUGAGAUAACUUUUCAUCUACUCUCUGAAAUAAGAUUUCAUCAGAGGUCAUGAGCCUGCCCGAGAGGAAAGAUGAACACAGUCCUGCUCUUAAUGAUGCCAAGGUUAAGCUUUCCUAACAUUGAUCAUGUUAGGGCUGAAAGCAAAGGGAACAGCCAUAAGGAGAAAUGUAACAAGACAGGUAACACAUGCUGGGUACCAAAGAAGGGGUUGGGCAACAAGUUCUGAAAGGCCUCCCAGGAGUAGGGGUUGCCGGAGGCAGAGCUUGAGCUGGACCUGGAAAGGCAAAUAGCAACACUUAAAAGGAGAAGAGGACCAGGAAAACCAUGAGCAAAAGGCAGCAGCAAGCUGUGCAAGGCAAGUAAGGGAUGGGAAUCCAGCCAGUAUGACCAGAUGACGGCAAGGAAUUAGAUCAGUCGGUACAGGUGAUUAUCAGCAAGACAGCCCUGGACAGCUGCAAUGCUGACACCUUACAGGAGGAACCAGUCUUUCCUCUUCCAGCAUUCCAAGCCACAAGAUGAGUAACCAAAGAAUAGAAACUAAAAACCCUCCAGGAGUUUGUACUGUGCUAGGAAGGUAGUUUCCUCCCUCCUCUCUGCUCUCUCCACCCUUCCUGUACCAGUUACUGGCCCUCCCCAGCUUCUCUCUCCCUCCCUCUUACCGGGCUGACCUCUCUGUAGACCUGACUGGUUUUCCCUCUUCAUCUCUUCUUCUAAAUGGCAAGCCAUUUGCAUCUAAGGAGAGGCCUACAUUUGUUCAACUAUCUCUGGAUGGGCAAGUUUAAUUUUCUGAGCAAAGGGUGAGUGUUACAGCCAGUAGUCAGAUCCAGUGCUACUGGUAUUAACACGCAUUUUGCCCCUUCUGCUUCCUGGGUAGAUGCGAGCUGGUCUGGAACACUGAAGGGAAAGAAAGGAGCACAACUCUCAUCUCCUUAAAAACCAAACACUGAGCUGCUAUGAUUUGUCUUUACAGCAAAACCAAAGGGAUGUUAAGAUGAAUCAACAGGAAUACAUCUUCAUUUCUCAGUCUUGUGAAGAAGUUUAGGAACUUUUUUUUAAAAAGUCUUUUUAAAAAUAUACUAUAGCACAAAAUUCAAAAGGAAUAGGGCAAAAAGUCUUCCUUGCACCUAACCCUCCAGUUAGCCAGUACUCCCCAUGGGCAACAUUAUCACUUUAUUAUUUAUCCUUCUAGGGUUAUUUUAUUUGUAUACAAGCAGGUAUGUGUAUUUUUUAACCAAAAGGUAGA